ACGUCCAGCAGAGGUGCUGCAUGGCUGUCGUCAGCUCGUGCCGUGAGGUGUUGGUUAAGUCCGCAACGAGCGCAACCCCUGUUCCUAGUUGCCAGCGGUUCGGCCGGGGACUCUAGGAAGACUGCCGGUGACAAACCGGAGGAAGGUGGGGAUGACGUCAAGUCAUCAUGGCCUCUAUGUCCAGGGCGUACACACGUGCUACAAUGGCCGGUACAGACGGACGCAAAGCCGCGAGGUGGAGCAAAUCCUAAAAAAGACCGGUCUCAGUUCGGAUUGCAGGCUGCAAUUCGCCUGCAUGAAGUCGGAAUCGCUAGUAAUCGCAGGUCAGCAUACUGCGGUGAAUACGUUCCCGGGCCUU
Molecule: ribosomal RNA, 358 nt
Filed under: uncultured Holophagae bacterium
Lineage: Bacteria; Pseudomonadati; Acidobacteriota; Holophagae
Description: bacterial SSU rRNA
Rfam family: Bacterial small subunit ribosomal RNA
Source: RNAcentral